AUUGACCUGGAGGUAUCGGGCGCUAGCAUAUUUAACCCGCUAACUAUAAUAAGGGAAUCAGAAUCAAUAGUGGUGUUCAUGCUUAAUUUUAAUUAAGAAGUCUAAAGCUAUUGUGGGAUGCCCACCUGCGAGAUGCGCAGGUUUAUUUUGCUAGUAAUCGACCCUUUGGGUCUUUU
This 176-nucleotide non-coding RNA is filed under the name Candidatus Aphodocola excrementigallinarum. RNAcentral's name for it is "6S RNA". It matches the Rfam family "6S / SsrS RNA". From Rfam's summary of the family: E. coli 6S RNA was the first non coding RNA to be sequenced, but its function was unknown until recently. It consists of 184 nucleotides that fold into an extended hairpin structure with a large single-stranded internal bulge. The 6S RNA specifically associates with RNA polymerase holoenzyme containing the sigma70 specificity factor. The record is from RNAcentral. Lineage: Bacteria; Bacillati; Bacillota; Bacilli.